UUUACCUUCAUUUAUUGGGAAAGGAAGAUUUUAGAUGGUUAAAGUCACAUUUGGUUGAAUUUCCUCAGAAGAAAUAGUCUUACUACAAAAGAGAUUGUCUGAGACAGUCUACUGACAGAUUCCCUCUGCCUGCUUGUGAAGGCUGUCAGAGAAGAAAGCAAUCGUACACAGUGGGACUGACUUCUAUAAGUCACAUUGGAUAAAAAGAAGAAAGAAUUAUACUUUGGCCAAAUGCCAACAAUGAGGAAUGUUCUGUAAAGCAGUCCUAUAUGAUUCAGUGGCAGUCACUGUGGGGCAUUUGAGGAAACUGAUCAUCAGAGCUCAAAAUAUUCCCUUUAUGAGUACAGGAAAACUCCCAUCCCUUUUUGCUGAAAUGGAGCUGUACCUUGUCACAGGGUUGUUCUGGGUAACAUCAGUUGUGACUAAGGCCCUUCCCCACCAAAGCAAGCCCUCAGAAGAGGACUGUAUUACUGCAGCAGAACAGCUAAGCGGAGCGAGUCCUUCCCACGUGCCUAGAACCCUGCAAAGCUCUCC
Molecule: long non-coding RNA, 534 nt
Filed under: Equus asinus (donkey)
Lineage: Eukaryota; Metazoa; Chordata; Mammalia; Perissodactyla; Equidae
Description: lncRNA (ENSEASG00005030311.1)
Source: RNAcentral